GAAAAUUAGGAGCAAAAUAAGGACUUCACAGAACAUUCCAGUCCUUGUUAACUAUUUUUACCAGGAAAGCACUCUUUGCUAAAGCAGAGUGCAAAACCAUCAUAUUUGAUCGUUAGCUCAUGUGUGGAAGGAAUUGCCAGAUGCAGCCAGUUCUGCUCAAACCCUGAACUUCUGACCUAUCUGUGUGUAGGCAGUCAUGACUUCAUUCAUUCAUUGUUUAUUUAUUAAGUAAUUUAUCCACUCAUUAACUUGAUCACACAACCAACAUAUAUUGAGUGCUUGCUACAGGACAAUACUAUACUAGAUUAUUGCUAUUCCUUAGUGAACAAGACAAAACAGUGGCAUUUCCAUGGAACUUGUAGUACAGGGAUGGUAGAGAGAGCUGGCUAGUAAACAAAUUAUAUGCUUUACCUAUAUAAUUACCCAUUGUGAUGGAGGCUAUUAAGGAGAGAUACAUUUUUGAUGGAUACGGGGUGAGGGGUGUGACCUUCUGUGGGAAUUCUUCCCUGAGAAAGUAAAGUACUUGAAGAAAGAUAUAAUUUUCUAAUUUAAAUAUUUCAUUAUUUUCCUACACUCUGUCUUUUAUUUUUUAACAAGAAUGCCACGUGUGCACAUACUUUCCCAAAUCUUCCUGCUUACUUUUCCUAUGUAGACUGUUGAGCUAAGCAUUAUGGAUUGCUGUGUUCUGAAUCAAACUGCCCCAGAAUCCCCACAGAGAAUGAGCUCCAAUCUUAUCUCCCUGUCCAUCUGUAGACUUUACCCUUUCAUCAUUCGCCCCUUAUGUUUGGGGUGUGCAUUUUUGUUCGCAGGGCACCUUCAGACAUAUUAUCCAGCCCAUCUUCACCAUCUGUCCUGCAGGGUGCGAAGAAUGAGAUCUUCCUGAUACGCGUGAGAAACAGUGAUUCUGGGGCAGCAGUGUCAUGUCCAAGGUCACAUACCAGUAAGACCCAGGCAAGAGAAGAUCCAGAAAACCCUCCAAAGCUGUUGCGCUCAUGAAGAUAUCACUUUGGAAGAAAGAAUAAUUGCAUUGAAUGAGAGUAUACAGGACACUCUUGAAGUAUGUAUCAUGGUGUUUAAUCAUGAUAUUGUGAGUAAUUGGGAAUAUAAAGGUUCUUUCAAAAUGCUUGCUUGGUCUUUAUGAACCUUCCUGGAUAUAGCAUCAUAAAACUGACCCCAAGUGAUUUGCAGGAUCCAUCAUUUGUGUUUUAUAAGAUGAAUACUGAAUAAAUACCAUAGCAUGCAGAUACGAUCA
This 1252-nucleotide long non-coding RNA is filed under the name Oryctolagus cuniculus (rabbit). RNAcentral describes it as "lncRNA (ENSOCUG00000039003.1)". Lineage: Eukaryota; Metazoa; Chordata; Mammalia; Lagomorpha; Leporidae. The record is from RNAcentral.